This 392-nucleotide ribosomal RNA is filed under the name uncultured bacterium. Its description in RNAcentral is "partial 16S ribosomal RNA". It matches the Rfam family "Bacterial small subunit ribosomal RNA", at positions 523 to 918 of the family's 1533-position model. The record is from RNAcentral.
AUACGUAUGGGGCGAGCGUUGUCCGGAAUGAUUGGGCGUAAAGGGUACGUAGGCGGUUAAUUAAGUCGAGUGUGGAAGGUUGGGGCUCAACCCCAUAAAGCAUUCGAAACUGGUUAACUUGAGAUGUGGAGAGGAAAGUGGAAUUCCUAGUGUAGCGGUGACAUGCGUAGAUAUUAGGAGGAAUACCAGUAGCGAAGGCGACUUUCUGGACAAAUAGUGACGCUGUGGUACGAAAGCGUGGGGAGCAAACGGGAUUAGAUACCCGGGUAGUCCACGCCGUAAACGAUGAAUGCUAGGUGUCGGGGGUCAAACCUCGGUGCCGCCGCUAACGCAUUAAGCAUUCCGCCUGGGGAGUACGCACGCAAGUGUGAAACUCAAAGGAAUUGACGGGG